This 578-nucleotide ribosomal RNA is filed under the name uncultured bacterium. Its description in RNAcentral is "bacterial SSU rRNA". It matches the Rfam family "Bacterial small subunit ribosomal RNA", at positions 102 to 676 of the family's 1533-position model. The record is from RNAcentral.
ACGGGUGAGUAAAGCGUAGGAAUCUAGCUUAUUGAGUGGGAUAGCUUAGGGAAACUUAGGGUAAUACCGCAUAAGCCCGAGAGGGGAAAGCAGGGGACUGAAAGGCCUUGCGCGAUAAGAUGAGCCUACGUCGGAUUAGCUAGUUGGUGGGGUAAAGGCCUACCAAGGCGACGAUCCGUAGCUGGUCUGAGAGGACGACCAGCCACACUGGGACUGAGACACGGCCCAGACUCCUACGGGAGGCAGCAGUGGGGAAUAUUGGACAAUGGGCGCAAGCCUGAUCCAGCAAUGCCGCGUGUGUGAAGAAGGCUUUCGGGUUGUAAAGCACUUUCGGUGGGGAGAAAGGGCCUGUUCCUAAUAUGAGCAGGAGAUGAUGUUACCCACAGAAGAAGCACCGGCUAACUCUGUGCCAGCAGCCGCGGUAAUACAGAGGGUGCGAGCGUUAAUCGGAAUUACUGGGCGUAAAGGGUGCGUAGGUGGUUUUCUAAGUUGGGUGUGAAAGUCCUGGGCUUAACCUGGGGAUUGCGCUUAAUACUGGAGAGCUAGAGUACUGUAGAGGGAAGUGGAAUUUCCGGUGU